AAAUUUGACUUAAAAAGAGAUCAAUUAAUAUUGUUUGGACUUGUGGAGUCCACUACGAGUCACAUCUCAAUGAUCUGAAUUAUUUAUUUUUUAGAUCACAAUAUAUAAAUUAUUUAUAUAAAAAAUUAAGUCGAUCCGAUAAUUUUAACUACCUUAAUUUAUGAUAUUUAUUUGUAAAAAAAUUAAUAUUUAAAAACCAAACCAUACAUUUUUUUGGGGACCGGAGAGAAGCUGGGUUCACUUGACGUGACGUUUAACUUUUUUAGAAUAAUAUUUUGAUAUUUUUAACAGAGACUCGUGCCAAACAUCCUACUAAUUCAUUUUAGAGCCCUAUAUAUAGAGAAGCUCUGUAACUAUGAAAUCCUUGAGGCGAGUGUGCUUCCUUGUCUGAUGUGUGUGCAUGUUAGAAGCAAGUAAUUGCUUUGCUUCCCAAAGCAGCCAAAAACAGACAAUAAUAAAAUAUUUGCAACAACAACCACAGUCGAUCGAGUAGUAAGAAAGUGGCAAGUAUGAUGGAGGAAUCAGCAGCAGCAGCAGCAACAACAACAACAUCUUCCGAGGUUCAUGAAUUGCCAGGGUUUUAAUUUCAUCCCACAGAGGAAGAACUUGUCGGAUUCUACCUCAAAAACGUAAUUUUCGGCAAAAAAUAGCGCUCCGAUAUCAUCGGUUUCCUCAACAUCUACCAUCAUGAUCCAUGGGACUUGCCCGGCACAUUGCUAAGACAUUGUAUGGUGAUGAUGAUGAAGAGGUUACUCCUCAGAAUAGCGGCACAGUGGAGGAGCCAAAAUUUUUAGGUCUUUACCCUGGAUCAAAUGAGAAGGUUUUCCUUGUUUUGGUUUAACAUCAAUUAUGUGAAAAUGAAUCUUUAUCAUCUUCAGAAGCUUAUUACUGCUUUUAAUGUAUGUAUGGGAAUUAUUUUUAUUUUUUAGAUUCUCUUGAAGAAUGGUCCUAAUGGGUUUUAUGUUCAGCUUGGUAAGGACAGGAAGGGAUACUAGCCUAAAAGAGCCUCGGUUUCCUAUUUACAGCCUCAUUUGUAUUUGUAAUGGGACUACUAAAUUUUUGGAGCUUUAAUUCCUUGCCUACUGCCAUUAUCUGCAUAUAUGUAAAUGCUUAAGUUAAGCAUCUAUGCUUCGUUUUGUUUUCAAGUAAAUUAGGGAUGAAUACUUAGCCACUACUGGUCAUUAAGAAAGUCUUGUGAUGUUAAUUUUCUUCCUUUUUUUUCCCCUUCAAAACAAUUAACAUCAAGGGAUAAUCUGUGGAUCAGAUACAAAGGGUUCGGUCAUGCCUGUUUGGUUUAACUUGGUUAUUCGAAUCAAGCCUUCAAGUUUCAAAAAAUCCAUACAUAUACAGACUGAAAUUAAUAAAUGUAAACAUAAAUUUAUGCAUAAUGUUAUCAUAAAAUCUAUAAACCUAAGACUGAACAUAAACAUAUCUAGAGAUUCUAGACUGCUCUUGCAUGCUUUUCUCUCUUUAUGCAAGCAUUCAUGUGCUGACACUUGUUCUCUUGGAAGAAGAAUAUACCUUGUGGAAUAUGUCUUUUAUUUUGCAUAUUUGUGUUGUGAACUGCACGAUAGAAAAAAAGAUGGAUUAUAAAAGAUUAAGGGGCAUAUAUAAAAUUUCAAUGGGGACAAUUUGAAGAACUUUAUAAGGACAGGUUAACUUGUAAUUUUGAAAGAGUUGAGGGGAGGCACUGCCCCCUCUGGGCCAAUAAUGGCUCCGCCACUGGCCACAUGAAUAUCUUGCUUCUUCUAUUGAUACCCAUUUCUAGAGUGUUUUUCUUUUCUUUUUGUUUUUAGUAUUGUAGAUGCAGACGCAGUAGUCGUCGUUGUUCUUAUUAUUAUCUGAAUCCAAUACUGUGUCAUAUUUAUUGUCGUUAAUGAAUAAUUUUUGUUUGUUGCUAUAUAGCCUCUGCUCCUCGUGUUUCAUCAGUAUUGAAUAAUUAAAAGUGGGAUACAAAAUGUGCAGUUUAUCAGCUCCCUAUAGAAUUGACAGUGGUCACAUCAUCCUCCCAGAAUAUCGCUACUACUUUUGUAGUUAAUUUCAUAAAUUCCAUUAAUCUUUAAAACAAUAUUUUCCCUUAUUCUUGACCUUGCAGGUUGUUUUUCUCACUACUUCCAUUCAUGUCCUUUUAAACUUCUUGAUUUUUUUUUGGAAGGUUCACCUGUUCCAGCAUAAUCCUCACUGACUGAAUAAUGACUCAUUUUUUAUUCCUGAAAAUCUUCUCUGCUUCAGGCAGCUGCCCCUCUAUUCUUGCCAAUGUUUGUCACAUUAUUCUAGAGCAAACUAUGCUUCAACCACUGAGCUGAAACUCCAUUCCAGUGUCUGUGGUUAUCUCUCAAUCAUAUUGUCAUAUAGCUGGAAGGUUUUGGAAUUGGUUGUUUUGGAUCAUUUGGUCGUCAAUCUUCCUUUUAUACUUCAUCCCUUUCUUCUUUUCCUUGUCGUGGUCCUACUUCUGAAACAUUUUGUAUUAGAAUAUCUGGUUUUGCGCCAAUCUGAUUUUGUCAAAGUUAAAAGUCGCAUUUCAUCCAGUUUUUAUUUGUAUCACAAUUUGAUUUCGGUAUUAGAAUAUCUAGCUUCCUCUAAUUUUUAAAAAGUUUUAUCAUGUGCCUAGGGCAAAGAAGAUGCUAUCCGCAAGUAUGAAAAGUCCUGCAUGAUGUUUUUUAUAGGUAAAAGAAUAUAACUAAUGUAUGACAUAUUUUAAUACUUACAAUCAUGUAACUAUAGAAUGUCAAAAAAAUUUACCAGUUCGUUUAAUGCCCCCCUUUUAAAAACCUUUACUAAAGCACGUGAAGCUUCCACUAAGGUUUUUAAGCACCAAAGUUGAUGAUAAUUGCACGUGAAGCUUCCACUAAGGUUUAACCUUUACUAAACCUUUACUAAUAUAUUUUUCAUCAGUAUGUUUCUGUUAUUAUUUUCCUCCAAGGGGGAGUACCUGGAGGACAAUUGCAUUUGGCCAUGAUGCAAUAACUUGGUGCUCAAAUAUGCUGGCUGUUGUGGAUUAAUUGUAAAAUAUGGAUUUAUAAAUAAAUAAAUAAAAAGAACAAGAAUCUUAAAAAUAUGGAUUAUGUGGAUGCUCUUUGAGGUCUCUUGGUGCAUCUAGCAUCCACAGAUGGGAGAUCGACUUUGAUCCAUGCCUUCGUUUUAUUUUUUUAGGAUAUCAUGCACAAGCUUCAGUUCAGAACUUUUUUAUGAACUGUUUCGAUAUGGCAGUUCAUGCAUCUAUAAACAUUGCCUGCUUCUUUCACCCCCUCAAAAACAAAUAAAAAAUAAAAAAUAAAAUAAAUGAAUAAAAUGACUUGUAUUUGUUGUAAUAUUUAAUUCAUACAUGAUUGAAAACAUUAUUAUCUUAGAAAUUUUUUUGACAAGUAACAUGUGUUAUUUUAGAUAAAAAAAAUGUAGACUCUAUUACCCUGGAAGAUGCUAUUGAGUUGCUGCGCUAUCCUGCGACAUUGGUAUGUCUUCAUCUAAAUAGAGGGUUUUUAAAAAAAAAAAUUAUUUGUCAUUGUCAAACUCAGUUUUCCUGUAUCCAUGUUAGGGAAACCAUCCUGAUGAUGGCCCGCCAGUUGUAAGCUUGCAAAGUUUGGAUUUUCCAUUAGACAUCGACGAACAAUCGUGCCUGUACCCACAAGAACUUGAAGCCGAAAGAUAUAACCUUUGAGAAAGCAUUAGAGCUUUUGUUGGGUAAAGAUGUAAAACGAUGGGGCCGACCGAAGAGCAAACCAAAGCUUGAAGGGGCCGUUGAGGCGAUAUAGGCAUGACAUAUUCUAUGGCCAAGGCCCGGUACAAGAAAUUUAAAGUCAGUGCAAUUGGUAUGCAUAUAUAAAGACAUCCAUUUGCGGCAUCUCCUCCAGUUCUUCCAUUGGUGAGGUUUCAACAGAGCCAAUACAGGUUGUAUCUAACUCACACCAACAUAUCUGAUGGCAGGAAAUGUAGUGUAAUGGACGUUAGUAGUAGCCAAUUUUGUUGUAAUUCAUGAAUAAGCUUAAGUAGUAUAUAUGUGGCCAAAAUUUGAUUUAA
Camellia sinensis is the source of this 4017-nucleotide non-coding RNA. The record is from RefSeq and is a predicted model, not a curated record. NCBI's taxonomy places the organism in Eukaryota, Viridiplantae, Streptophyta, Magnoliopsida, Ericales, Theaceae.